GACGAACGCUGGCGGCGUGCUUAACACAUGCAAGUCGAACGGAAAGGCCCUGCUUUUGUGGGGUGCUCGAGUGGCGAACGGGUGAGUAACACGUGAGUAACCUGCCCUUGACUUUGGGAUAACUUCAGGAAACUGGGGCUAAUACCGGAUAGGAGCUCCUGCUGCAUGGUGGGGGUUGGAAAGUUUCGGCGGUUGGGGAUGGACUCGCGGCUUAUCAGCUUGUUGGUGGGGUAGUGGCUUACCAAGGCUUUGACGGGUAGCCGGCCUGAGAGGGUGACCGGCCACAUUGGGACUGAGGUACGGCCCAGACUCCUACGGGAGGCAGCAGUGGGGAAUAUUGCACAAUGGGCGGAAGCCUGAUGCAGCAACGCCGCGUGCGGGAUGACGGCCUUCGGGGUGUAAACCGCUUUCGCCUGUGACGAAGCGUGAGUGACGGUAAUGGGUAAAGAAGCACCGGCUAACUACGUG
Molecule: ribosomal RNA, 468 nt
Filed under: uncultured bacterium
Lineage: Bacteria
Description: partial 16S ribosomal RNA
Rfam family: Bacterial small subunit ribosomal RNA
Source: RNAcentral